GAUGAACGCUGGCGGCGUGCCUAAUACAUGCAAGUCGAGCGAACGGACGAGAAGCUUGCUUCUCUGAUGUUAGCGGCGGACGGGUGAGUAACACGUGGAUAACCUACCUAUAAGACUGGGAUAACUUCGGGAAACCGGAGCUAAUACCGGAUAAUAUUUUGAACCGCAUGGUUCAAAAGUGAAAGACGGUCUUGCUGUCACUUAUAGAUGGAUCCGCGCUGCAUUAGCUAGUUGGUAAGGUAACGGCUUACCAAGGCAACGAUGCAUAGCCGACCUGAGAGGGUGAUCGGCCACACUGGAACUGAGACACGGUCCAGACUCCUACGGGAGGCAGCAGUAGGGAAUCUUCCGCAAUGGGCGAAAGCCUGACGGAGCAACGCCGCGUGAGUGAUGAAGGUCUUCGGAUCGUAAAACUCUGUUAUUAGGGAAGAACAUAUGUGUAAGUAACUGUGCACAUCUUGACGGUACCUAAUCAGAAAGCCACGGCUAACUACGUGCCAGCAGCCGCGGUAAUACGUAGGUGGCAAGCGUUAUCCGGAAUUAUUGGGCGUAAAGCGCGCGUAGGCGGUUUUUUAAGUCUGAUGUGAAAGCCCACGGCUCAACCGUGGAGGGUCAUUGGAAACUGGAAAACUUGAGUGCAGAAGAGGAAAGUGGAAUUCCAUGUGUAGCGGUGAAAUGCGCAGAGAUAUGGAGGAACACCAGUGGCGAAGGCGACUUUCUGGUCUGUAACUGACGCUGAUGUGCGAAAGCGUGGGGAUCAAACAGGAUUAGAUACCCUGGUAGUCCACACCGUAAACGAUGAGUGCUAAGUGUUAGGGGGUUUCCGCCCCUUAGUGCUGCAGCUAACGCAUUAAGCACUCCGCCUGGGGAGUACGACCGCAAGGUUGAAACUCAAAGGAAUUGACGGGGACCCGCACAAGCGGUGGAGCAUGUGGUUUAAUUCGAAGCAACGCGAAGAACCUUACCAAAUCUUGACAUCCUUUGACAACUCUAGAGAUAGAGCUUUCCCCUUCGGGGGACAAAGUGACAGGUGGUGCAUGGUUGUCGUCAGCUCGUGUCGUGAGAUGUUGGGUUAAGUCCCGCAACGAGCGCAACCCUUAAGCUUAGUUGCCAUCAUUAAGUUGGGCACUCUAAGUUGACUGCCGGUGACAAACCGGAGGAAGGUGGGGAUGACGUCAAAUCAUCAUGCCCCUUAUGAUUUGGGCUACACACGUGCUACAAUGGACAAUACAAAGGGCAGCGAAACCGUGAGGUCAAGCAAAUCCCAUAAAGUUGUUCUCAGUUCGGAUUGUAGUCUGCAACUCGACUACAUGAAGCUGGAAUCGCUAGUAAUCGUAGAUCAGCAUGCUACGGUGAAUACGUUCCCGGGUCU
This 1372-nucleotide ribosomal RNA is filed under the name uncultured bacterium. RNAcentral describes it as "bacterial SSU rRNA". It matches the Rfam family "Bacterial small subunit ribosomal RNA", at positions 28 to 1381 of the family's 1533-position model. The record is from RNAcentral.